Pelobates cultripes (western spadefoot toad) is the source of this 247-nucleotide non-coding RNA. NCBI's taxonomy places the organism in Eukaryota, Metazoa, Chordata, Amphibia, Anura, Pelobatidae. The record is from the annotation of a GenBank genome assembly.
GCAAGGUAUCAAGGCAAUUUAUGUCCUGGGAGUGGGAGACAGAAAGAAGAAUGAAUUCUGUAUUGGGGCAGGACUUGGAAAUAAACUGUGGCAAUGAUAGCCAAGCUCUGACUAGCAGAAUUGGAGACCUUUUUCCUAAUCAAUUUUUUUUCCUACUAAUUAGUUUAAUUUGCUGACUGGUGAACAAAUUAGAGGCUGUAUAGAUGGAAGUGAAAAGGAGGCUGAGAACUGAGCCUUGACUAUUCAC